This 489-nucleotide ribosomal RNA is filed under the name uncultured bacterium. Its description in RNAcentral is "partial 16S ribosomal RNA". It matches the Rfam family "Bacterial small subunit ribosomal RNA", at positions 28 to 506 of the family's 1533-position model. The record is from RNAcentral.
GAUGAACGCUAGCGAUAGGCUUAACACAUGCAAGUCGAGGGGCAGCAUGGUCUUAGCUUGCUAAGACUGAUGGCGACCGGCGCACGGGUGCGUAACGCGUAUGCAACUUGCCUCACAGAGGGGGAUAACCCGUCGAAAGACGGACUAAUACCGCGUACACUCCAUCUUGGGCAUCCAAGGUAGAGGAAAUGAAAUUCGCUGUGAGAUAGGCAUGCGUCCCAUUAGCUAGUUGGUGAGGUAACGGCUCACCAAGGCGACGAUGGGUAGGGGAACUGAGAGGUUGAACCCCCACACGGGUACGGAGAAACGGACAAGACUAAGACGGAAGGCAGCAGGGAGGAAAAGUGGACAAGGGGGGAGAGCCUGAACCAGCCAAGUCGGGUGAAGGAUUACUUGCUUUUGGAUUGAAAACUUUUUUUAGAGGGGAAAAAAAAGGGUCACGGGGGACCCCCUGCAUGUACCUAAGGAAUAAGCAGCGGCUAACUCCGU